GUCCCGGGGGUGGGGCAGGAGAGGACUCUGAGAUGCCCGGGAAGGACAUUUGUCAUGCCAGCCAGACCAAGGCUGCCCCGCAGAGUGAGAGCAACAAAGGAUGCAGAUCCAGGACCAGGAUCACAGGCUUAGCUCAGCUGCUUCUAACCAGGAGCCUUGGACAGAUCACUUGGCCUCUCUGACUCUCAGUUUUUCUACCUAUAGAGUGGGGAUAAUGCAUCUUCCUUACAGGAACAAUAGAAGUGCUUUGUAAACCAUAAACAGCACAGGAAAAUGAAGGAAUAUCCUAGUCCUCUUGAGGAUUAGAGGGGGAGGGAAGAGGAGGGAAGGAAGAGAAAAAGGUAGGAAAGGAUCCAAAAUGAGGCUGAGAUUUUGAAACCCAACCUGCUGGCUUUAUAGCCAAGCUUUUCAUCAUCACUGGAAACUCAAACCUGCAGCAAUUAUAUGCUGAGGUCAUAAACGUGAUUAAAAAGGUUGUUUGCAAAGCUGAUUCCAGGGAAAUGAGCUGCAGAUGGCGGUGGCAUCAAUGUCCUUUUGCAGCAGGCAGCAGCUGGCUGUGUGGACUCAGGGACAGCUGGAAGGAGUUGUGCUAAUGCCCACCCCCAGCUUUGGAAGGCGGGGGCAAGCUGACUGCCCUCUCUGUGCCUGGGGACAGGGGAGACUUGCAGAGAGCUGAAACCCUAAGCCAUAAAACCGCCAUUUGUUCCAGAGAGAAAAGCCAGUUUUUCAAUUCCAGCCCAACCAGGAGGGUGGGCCAAGCUCAGAGAAAGAAGAGUGGACUGAGAGCACGAGUCCUUCCACGGCAGCCUGCCUCGGGCGGGACAGGCUGCAGUGGCUCUGGCUGUCCACUGGGAGUGUCCUUGGUGAGGGAGGAAAGAAGGCAAAGCCACAUCUGAAGUCUCUCGGCCAGAAGAACCCUCUGUUCUGAGGCCAACAGGUAGCCCUGGUAUAAGGAGAAGGUGGAAAAUACAGGCACCAGAACCUUCUCUGCUGCUUAUGGCUUCAUAGAAUGUUUUGCAGGUGACAUUUCACAUAAGUGGGCACCAGCCUGUCUGUCUUUGAUGGAAAGACAUCAGGAGGCAGGACCCAGGUCUCUGUCAGUGGCUUCCUGUCAGAGUGGCCAACACGGGAUACUUAAAAAUGUGAAGAAGGAGACGUCGAUCAGGAUAAUACAAUGAGCCCUUGGCCCAAAUUUGGGAAGGGCCCUCUCUUUUGAUGUAUCUCACUACCUCAGCUGCCAUCCCUCUCCUGGUCACUUCUACCCAUGCUUCAGCCACAGCCCCACUUACUCCAGGAAGCCCUCCCUGAUGAGUCACCUGCAGCAACCUCCUGUCCUGCAGAUCCUCACCCCGUACUGCUCACUGCCUUGGCUGCUGCUCCCAAUCACUCAUAUGCGUGCCCAUGUCUGUCUGACAACUGGGCGCUCCCUAAUGGCAGAAGCACAUCCAUAUGACAUUUCUCAAAUGUUCCCUAUAGUACAGGGAACCCAGAGCACGUCCAAUGACGUUGGGAUGUGAGCCUGCAGAGCUUUUCACAAAUUUGCAGAACAAGCUGUGUCCUUCAGCAUCAUUACCUGCCCUCCCCCUCCGACUGAACCUGGAGAAGAGUCAACAGCCUGCUACCAAAAAUCCCCCACAGCCCGGACUCGGAUGAUUCGCCUACAAAGGCUGGGGAGCACAGUCCCAGGCUUACUAAUCUCCUCUCUACCCCAUCCCCAUUUUUUCCAGUCCCCAGAAAGUCCCAAUCAAUCUCUCAGCAAAUUCCACAGGAUCUGUCAGAUUCAGAUCCAGUCAACUGCAGGCCGAGUGCUCUUCGCAUCUCAUCUUAUCUACUGCAGGAAGCAACCUGAGGGCAGCAAAGAGGAAGACAGCUGGUAUGAACGGGCUCUGAAACCUACCAGCUGUGCGGCCCAGAGAAAGCUACCUAACCUCUCUGAGCUUCAGCUGCUUCAGCUGUAAAAUGCUACAGGUCACCACUGUCUGGGUUGUUUGCUACUACCUUCUGCUGCUGCCUGAGAAAACCUGGGAGACUGUGAUCACAUUUUUUUUCCUGUAGAGCUGCCCGAAUACAGCUCUUCUCAAAGCCUUGCAGCAGAGAUGAUACAGCCAUCAGCAGCUGAUCCUGGAAUGAGUGUUGAGAGCAGCACAGACCACUCUACGUUUCUGCUCUGACCACAGGUCUGGCCUAGAAUUUGCCCCUCCACUGCACAAUGCAGGUAAAAACCUUUAAAAAAAUAAAUAAAUGGUCUCUGAGCCUCCCAGAAAUACAGCACUUAGAAUGUUGUUUUUGGAGGGGGCAUGUGAUAAAGAAUGGG
Molecule: long non-coding RNA, 2314 nt
Filed under: Homo sapiens (human)
Lineage: Eukaryota; Metazoa; Chordata; Mammalia; Primates; Hominidae
Description: HSALNT0187392
Source: RNAcentral